Long non-coding RNA from Hylaeus volcanicus, 1220 nucleotides. RefSeq lists it as uncharacterized. The transcript is spliced from 9 exons. NCBI's taxonomy places the organism in Eukaryota, Metazoa, Arthropoda, Insecta, Hymenoptera, Colletidae. The record is from RefSeq and is a predicted model, not a curated record.
GGUCUCAGACAACUAAAAAGAUGUCUUUAAGGCAAAACAAUGAAACAAUCAAAAUAUACUAGAUCUUUUUUUAUUACCCUAACGAACAGGAAGUAGCAAGAGUAUUGAAUCGUGCAGCAAGCUAUUGAAAAAAGAGUUAGGGUGAUGGAACAGAAAGGUUCACCUGAUUUUUCUUUUUCUUUUAUCAUAAGAACAAGUGUUGUUAAAAGCAAUUUCGGUAAGAGUGGUAAAGAAAGUAAAAACUCAAAUUCUGGCUGUAAAAGGAAUACAAAAUCGUGAUUGCUGCUAAUACGAAAAGUUUUACUUGUUGUGUUUGCCAUACAUUUCUACCCUACCGUUACUUCAUUACAUGCGUCUUGUUCUUCUUGUAUUUGUUUCGCUUUUUGACAAAUAACUCCAAUGCCACCCUGCCAAAAAGAAAAAAUAAUAUAAUUUUCUGACUGUUUUAUUAACCUGGAGAAUUUCCCGUCAGGAUAUAAAUUACUUAAACGAUACUGAAGUAUGGUGAAUAUUUCCUGGGCAGUGUACGCGUUGAAAUCAAAGUGUCACCUAAACGCGAAGAACAACGAGUUUGAAAUAAAUCAGGAAGAUUCAUUAUAUUCGAAAUGGCUAUUAAACAUAAGGAAGCAGUUGGAAUGUUUGGCCACUCGAGUAACGUAUAAAUGACUUUCUAAUUUUUUGAAACGCAUGUUUAACAAAAUGUUCAGAAAAAACAUAUUUUAUAAUAUGUUAUACAUACUUGGUCACGGGUAAAAAGAUGGUCAAUUUCAUCAAUAACUAAGAUUCUUAUGUUCUUCCGUAAAAGUUUUUUCUGAUGAUGAACGGAAAAACUGAUCCAAAAGUGAUAAACAUUGAGAAGAAUUAGGACACCUUUGUUUAGAUCUGAAUAACUAGACCAAAAUAUAGUACAAAAAAUGAUUUUCGAGUGUUCCAAUAGAGAAGGAGCAUGGUACCUGACGAUAAAUUUCUUGAUAAAUGGUAAUAGGACGCGUGAUUUCCAUCCCAUUAACAAAAACGAGCUGCAUUAUAUGCAUACAAGUCAUAAAAGCACGAGACACGGUUGCCGUUUUACCAGUACCGGAAGGGUUCAAUAAAAGUUACAGCUCCUACCGUCCCGGAAGAAAAUUGGUUAAAUUAGAAUCAUCUUCAAACACUAAGGAAGAACUACGGAACUUGCAACUUCUCAUCCUGUCUAAUUGAGCAUUGGUGCAAUAUUGGUG